GGGUUUGUGGCUCAGUGGUAGAGCAUCUACUUGGGAUGGAGAAGGUCCCAUGUUCAAUCCCUGGCAUCUCCA
Gekko japonicus is the source of this 72-nucleotide non-coding RNA. The record is from the annotation of a RefSeq genome assembly. NCBI's taxonomy places the organism in Eukaryota, Metazoa, Chordata, Lepidosauria, Squamata, Gekkonidae.